RNAcentral lists this ribosomal RNA (565 nucleotides) under uncultured bacterium. Its description in RNAcentral is "bacterial SSU rRNA". It matches the Rfam family "Bacterial small subunit ribosomal RNA", at positions 337 to 917 of the family's 1533-position model. The record is from RNAcentral.
UCCUACGGGAGGCAGCAGUGGGGAAUCUUGCGCAAUGGGCGAAAGCCUGACGCAGCAACGCCGCGUGCGGGAAGAAGGCUUUCGGGCUGUAAACCGCUUUCAGCAGGAACGAAAAUGACGGUACCUGCAGAAGAAGGAGCGGCCAACUAUGUGCCAGCAGCCGCGGUGAUACAUAGGCUUCAAGCGUUGUCCGGAUUUAUUGGGCGUAAAGAGUUCGUAGGCGGUCGAGUAAGUCGGGUGUGAAAAUUCUGGGCUCAACCCAGAGACGCCACCCGAUACUGCUUAACUUGAGUUCGAUAGGGGAGUGGGGAAUUCCUAGUGUAGCGGUGAAAUGCGCAGAUAUUAGGAGGAACACCGGUGGCGAAGGCGCCACUCUGGAUCGACACUGACGCUGAGGAACGAAAGCAUGGGUAGCAAACAGGAUUAGAUACCCUGGCAGUCCAUGCGGUAAACGGUGGGCACUAGGUGUGGGUUUCUAUUAACGAAAUCCGCGCCGUCGCUAACGCAUUAAGUGCCCCGCCUGGGGAGUACGGUCGCAAGACUAAAACUCAAAGGAAUUGACGGA